Molecule: ribosomal RNA, 497 nt
Filed under: uncultured Sphingobacteriales bacterium
Lineage: Bacteria; Pseudomonadati; Bacteroidota; Sphingobacteriia; Sphingobacteriales
Description: bacterial SSU rRNA
Rfam family: Bacterial small subunit ribosomal RNA
Source: RNAcentral
GCCAGCCCGCUCAAGAACUCAAGGAAUUGACGGGGCCCGCACAAGCGGAGGAGCAUGUGGUUUAAUUCGAUGAUACGCGAGGAACCUUACCUGGGCUCGAACGUAAGAUGACUGUAGGUGAAAGCUUACAUCUCUUCGGAGCAUUUUACGAGGUGCUGCAUGGUUGUCGUCAGCUCGUGCCGUGAGGUGUCGGGUUAAGUCCCAUAACGAGCGCAACCCCUACCUUUAGUUGCCAUCAGGUUAAGCUGGGGACUCUAAAGGAACUGCCUACGCAAGUAGUGAGGAAGGCGGGGAUGACGUCAAAUCAGCACGGCCCUUACGUCCAGGGCUACACACGUGCUACAAUGGCCGAUACAGAGGGCAGCUACCUGGUGACAGGAUGCAAAUCUCCAAAGUCGGUCUCAGUUCGGAUCGGAGUCUGCAACCCGACUCCGUGAAGUUGGAUUCGCUAGUAAUCGCGCAUCAGCCAUGGCGCGGUGAAUACGUUCCCGGGCCUU